Molecule: transfer RNA, 81 nt
Filed under: Acidimicrobiia bacterium
Lineage: Bacteria; Bacillati; Actinomycetota; Acidimicrobiia
Also listed under: 1 other name
Description: tRNA-Leu
Rfam family: tRNA
About the family: Transfer RNA (tRNA) molecules are approximately 80 nucleotides in length. Their secondary structure includes four short double-helical elements and three loops (D, anti-codon, and T loops).
Source: RNAcentral
GCCCGGGUGCUGGAACAGGUAUACAGAGAGGUCUUAAACACCUUGCCGAGAGGCGUGUGGGUUCGAGUCCCACCCCGGGCC